GGGAGGGGUGUCGCCUGGGCGGGGGAAAACGGGCUCCGGUGUCAGGUAACUAGCGGGUGAGUUGGGAGACCGGCAGGCGCAAGGGCUUGGGGGUAGGCCUGGGGUUGAGGCUUCAGGGGUUUCAGUUCAAGGGUUAGAUCACCGAUCAAACCGAAGACCCCCAGGCUGACACCUCAGUCUCAUUCCUUCCCCACUUGGAGGCCAAGAUCCGUCAGACACACAGCCUUGCCCACCUCCUCACCAAAUAUGCUGAGCAGCUGCUCCAGGAAUAUGUGAGUGAGAAUGGGGGUUGGGGUGUCAAGGGUCUGGGGAUUGGGGAAGCACAGGUCACAGAGGUCCUCCA
Molecule: long non-coding RNA, 343 nt
Filed under: Cavia porcellus (domestic guinea pig)
Lineage: Eukaryota; Metazoa; Chordata; Mammalia; Rodentia; Caviidae
Description: lncRNA (ENSCPOG00000024645.2)
Source: RNAcentral